This 497-nucleotide ribosomal RNA is filed under the name uncultured bacterium. RNAcentral's name for it is "partial 16S ribosomal RNA". It matches the Rfam family "Bacterial small subunit ribosomal RNA", at positions 28 to 507 of the family's 1533-position model. The record is from RNAcentral.
GACGAACGCUGGCGGCGUGCCUAACACAUGCAAGUCGAGCGAACGGACCAGAAGUUUGCUUGUCUGAUGUUAGCGGCGGAGGGGAGAGUCACAUGUGGAUAACCUACCUACCAGACUGGGAUAAUUAUGGCAAACCGGAUCUUAGACCGGAUGAUAUUUUGCACCGCGUUGUGCAAAAGUGAGAUUCGGUCUUUCUGACAGUAAUAGCUGGAUCCGCGCUGGAUUAGCUGGUUGGUAAGGAAACGGCUUACCAAGGCAAGGAUGCAUAGCCGACCUGAGCGGGUGGUCGGCCACCCGGGAGGUGAGACGCAGCCCAGACUCCGGCGGGAGGCAGCAGUAGAGAAUCUUACGCAAUGGGGGAGAGGCUGACAGAGGAACGCGGGGUGAGGGAUGAAGGAGUUCGGAUCGGAAAGCUCUGUUGUUAGGGGGGAACAUAUGUGUAAGUAACCGUGCAGAUCUUGACGGUACCUGGUCAAAAAGCCACGGCUAACUACGUG